AGAGUUUGAUCAUGGCUCAGGACGAACGCUGGCGGCGUGCUUAACACAUGCAAGUGGAGCGACGAACCAGGGCUUGCCCUGGGGCAGAGCCGCGAACGGGUGAGUAACACGUGGGUAACGUGCCCCAAUGAUCGGGACAACCCGGGGAAACCCGGGCUAAUACCGAAUGUGCUCCCCUCACACCAGUGAGGGAUGGAAAGGAAGCUUCGGCCUCCGCAUUGGGAUCGGCCCGCGGCCCAUUAGCUUGUUGGUGAGGUAACGGCUCACCAAGGCUGCGAUGGGUAGCUGGUCUGAGAGGACGAUCAGCCACACUGGGACUGAGACACGGCCCAGACUCCUACGGGAGGCAGCAGUGGGGAAUCUUGCGCAAUGCGCGAAAGCGUGACGCAGCAACGCCGCGUGGGGGAAGAAGGCCUUCGGGUUGUAAACCCCUUUCAGGAGGGACGAAGGUUGGGCAGUUAAUAGCUGACCUGACUGACGGUACCUCCAGAAGAAGCCCCGGCUAACUACGUGCCAGCAGCGGCGGUAAUAC
This 532-nucleotide ribosomal RNA is filed under the name uncultured bacterium. Its description in RNAcentral is "bacterial SSU rRNA". It matches the Rfam family "Bacterial small subunit ribosomal RNA", at positions 8 to 526 of the family's 1533-position model. The record is from RNAcentral.